This 421-nucleotide ribosomal RNA is filed under the name uncultured bacterium. RNAcentral describes it as "partial 16S ribosomal RNA". It matches the Rfam family "Bacterial small subunit ribosomal RNA", at positions 359 to 772 of the family's 1533-position model. The record is from RNAcentral.
GAAUUUUGGACAAUGGGCGAAAGCCUGAUCCAGCAAUGCCGCGUGCAGGAUGAAGGCCUUCGGGUUGUAAACUGCUUUUGUACGGAACGAAAAGCUUUGGGUUAAUACCCUGGAGUAAUGAAGGUACUGUAGGAAUAAGCACCGGACAACUAAGUGCCAGCAGCCGCGGUAAUCCGUAGGGUGCAAGCGUUAAUCGGAAUUACUGGGCCUAAAGCGUGCGCAGGCGGUUUUGUAAGACAGAGGUGAAAUCCCCGGUCUCAACCUGGGAACUGCCGUUGUGACUGCAAGGCUAGAGUUCGGCAGAGGGGGGUGGAAUUCCGCGUGUAGCAGUGAAAUGCGUAGAUAUGCGGAGGAACACCGAUGGCGAAGGCAACCCCCUGGGCCUGUACUGACGCUCAUGCACGAAAGCGUGGGGAGCAAA